RNAcentral lists this transfer RNA (69 nucleotides) under Rattus norvegicus (Norway rat). It matches the Rfam family "tRNA". From Rfam's summary of the family: Transfer RNA (tRNA) molecules are approximately 80 nucleotides in length. Their secondary structure includes four short double-helical elements and three loops (D, anti-codon, and T loops). Further hydrogen bonds mediate the characteristic L-shaped molecular structure. tRNAs have two regions of fundamental functional importance: the anti-codon, which is responsible for specific mRNA codon recognition, and the 3' end, to which the tRNAs corresponding amino acid is attached (by aminoacyl-tRNA synthetases). tRNAs cope with the degeneracy of the genetic code in two manners: having more than one tRNA (with a specific anti-codon) for a particular amino acid; and 'wobble' base-pairing, i.e. permitting non-standard base-pairing at the 3rd anti-codon position. The record is from Rfam by way of RNAcentral. Lineage: Eukaryota; Metazoa; Chordata; Mammalia; Rodentia; Muridae.
GGGGAUUUAGCUCAGCGGUAGAGCGCUUGCCUAGCAAGCACAAGACCCUGGGUUCAAUCCCCAGCUCCG